This 38216-nucleotide long non-coding RNA is filed under the name Capsicum annuum. RNAcentral describes it as "long non-coding RNA (CANN_LNC004024)". The record is from RNAcentral. Lineage: Eukaryota; Viridiplantae; Streptophyta; Magnoliopsida; Solanales; Solanaceae.
AUCAUACCCACAAGGACGAUGUGGAAGACAAGCUGGUGGUACAAAAUGUCCUACUGGAGCAUGUUGUAGUAUAUCUGGUUGGUGUGGAACCACAUCAGACUAUUGUACUCCUAGAAAGUGUCAAAGUCAAUGUGUUUUUCCACCCCCACCAUCAUAUCCAGAAGGACGAUGCGGAGAACAAACUUCUUUUAAAAGAUCAUGUCCUUCUGGACAGUGUUGCAGUAUAGCUGGUUGGUGUGGAAGCACAGGAGCCUAUUGUAAUCCUGGUUGGUGUCAAAGUCAGUGCAAAACUAUAACCUCGCCCACCAAGAAUCGCAUGAGAGGCAUUGAAAGCUUCCUGCUCAAUGCUCUCUAGAUGCUUGCUACCUUCUAUAUUCCCUAGAGGAUGUACUUUUACUCCUCUUUUGGGACUGGUUUAUGUGUUUGAUUAUUAACGUGUGUAUUAUUAAUGCAUAUUCCUCAGAACUCACUUGUGAGAUUUUACUGGGUAUGUUUUUACUAUAAUUAUAAUGCAUAUCUAAUGCAUUACUUAUCAAUAAAACAAAUAAAGGACUUUUGUGUAAAUUAAAAAUAGCAAAUGAAGGUCUGUUGUAUGAGUUCUUUUCCCUCAUUUUUCAUCUAUAUUUAUUCAUCAUAUAUAUAGUUGGAAAAGGAUGAUAGAAGAAAAUCUCAACUGAUUUACAUAAUACAUUAAAGAAGAUACUUUUCUUUUUCAUCAAACAUAUCAUCACUCCGGGCCAGUAUCCCACUGUUUAAUUAAAUUGGACCUUCUACAUUUUCAUCGAGAAUCAAACUUUUGUAUUACAAUGGGAACAACAACAAUAAUUAACUUCAUCUUCCUCUCUUCCUCUUCGGCUCUUCAUGUUCAUCACCAACACUAUGAAUUUCUAUCAAAAUACUUGACAUUUCAUCCUAUUACUGCAUGUUUGUCUGUUUCUUUAUAGAAAAUAUUAGCAGCCAUCGUAAUAAAACUCAAAAAAUUAUCAUCAUUCGGAAGAUUCCCAGAGACUAUGACUACGAAAUUUGAUCCAAAUUGUAAUUUAUAUGUUAUGUUUAGCAAAUCAGAAAAAAACUUUCUACCUUCACGAGAUUGGGAUAAGGCUGCAUAUAUAUUAUCUUCUCUAGACUCCACUUAUAGAAUUACACUGGAUAUAUUAUUUUUAUUGUAAAUAAGGGAGGAAUUUGUAUGUUUAGUAAUAUAGGGUCUAAUUAUUUAGUGUUGGUGUUAUUAUGCAUUUUAAUAUUAAAAUCUUAAUUUGCAUGAUAACUUAUGGACAUAAAGUGGAGAAAGUGGUGUCAUUAUAUUGAUAACUCUUGUAACUUCUAACACUUUAUUUGUGCAUAAACAACCACAUUAUGUCUUGUAAUUCAUAUGACCAUUGGUUGUUGUAACUUCAUGGUCAUUAGUUCCAUGUAACAUAUGUAACAACAAGACUAUUUAUCUACCCACAUUACUCUAAUUGUUAAUGCAUGGUGGUAGAAUGUGGCCUUUAGUAAUUUGUAACUGCUCUCAUUAUUUUGCUGUAACUCUCAUGGCUAUUAGUGCCAUUAGUUUCUUGUAACUCUUGUAACUAAAGACUAUUGAUCUUUCCUCUUUAAAACCCUUCUUUGUUCUUCCUAUUCAAUACAAGGAUGAAUACCUCAUCUAUAAAUAGUGGAGGUAGUCUUGCAUGUUAUUGCAUGAACAAGGAAACAUGAUAAAUGUGAAAAAGAUUAUAGUGUGUAGAAGUGAAAGAGAGAGUUGAGACAAGAAAAAUAUUCUAAGUCUACAACUAUAUUCACUAUACAAAACAGAGUAAUUAUAUUAAAGAAAGAAAGAGUUGAGACAAAGACAAUAUUCUAAGUUUUUAACUAUAUUCACCAUACAAAGAGAGUAAAUAUAUGUUGAAGGAAGGUGUUCUUAUGGUGGAGCUUUGGACUCUUCAACUAAGUCGGGGUUGUUUGAGUUAUACAUCGUUGAUGGGGUAGCUGUUGUAUCCUGGAGGGGACAAGUCAUGAGAUAUACUGCUGGAUCAAUGUAGAUUAUGUCGCAGUGGGCUUGAAUCUCCUUAAAGAGAGCAAAAUAUCCGUGCCUCAUCGAAGAAGAAGAUUAUUUUAUUUUCUUCACUUUUACUCAUUUUAUUUUUUAACUGUAAUCAUUUACUGCAAUUUUUUGUAUAUUAAACCAACAUUUAGUUAUAGGAUGAUUUUCUGUUAAAAACAUUGAAAUUGACAUUUAAUCAAAAACAUCUAGCUAGAAUAACUAGUUUUCUAGUUUAUGCGAAAAUUUAAUCGAUUCCUCUCUUGAUGUUGGUUGAAAAUAGUUUUUGUAAAAAUAUAAUUUUCUUUAUUUCAAUCAAACACUAAAGAAGCAAAAGUGUAUUUGAUUGCUAUGAAAAAUCAAAAACCAACAACAAAAGAAAAAAGAUUUAAAAAAGUAAAUGCUCAGUCACUAGGAGGAAGGAGAAUGUUUAGCAUUUCCAAGAUCACAAGUUUUUUAUUUUUAAAAAAAGAUUAUAAAUUUUGUAUCCAAUUAAAUAAAUAGGAUCACAUUACAUGAAAUUAGUUAUGGAAUUUAUCGGAAAUAUCUAGCUAAUCCGUUGCUAGAAAACUACCUAGCUAAUUGAACAUUUUUAUAAUCAACCUCUAAUUUGUAGCUAAAUAGAACUAGCAUGAAAUAUUAUUUUCAGUUUAAGUUAUCUAUAUUGUAAAUGUGAUUUAUUUUAACAUUAUCUUUAGUUAUUUUUUUUAUUUAAUCAAAUAUCAACCAUUAUCUUUUAAUUAUGGCAUAUAUCUUUUAUCCACACAAAAACUUUGAGGAAAAUAGAGAGUAACCCUAAUAUGCAUGUCACAAUCAAUCAUGUUAAAAUAAAAGGACGAUUUCUAAUUGCUAUCAUUAGCAUUUGGCAGGCUGCUCUUAUUAACAUCCAUCCUUCGUUGCCUACUAGAUUCAAGUGGACCAUUAGUUGAUUGCUAGUUUUAUUAUAAAUGGCGAUGACACAACCGUACAUUCGUCUUAUUGCUAGCCUUAUUAUAUAUGAAAAUAACGGCCACGGAUUUCUUCACUUUCUGUGUCUUUUUCGUACAACUAUUUUUUUUGUUUUUGUUUCUUUGCUAUGAUGAGUAGUAAUUGAAAAAAAUGUAACAAAAAAACAAAGAAGAAAAAGAAGAAGGAGGAGGAGGUGGAGGAGGGAGAAAUAUAACUUGAUUUUAGACUUUUGUCUUUUUUUGCUUCACAAAUUCUUUGGGCAUAAUGAAUUACAUUUCAUGUUAGGCCAUAUGAUUUUUAUUCGUCUAUGCGCUAAUCCAAUCUCUUUUGAUUUCAUCUUUCAUCAUCUUAUAAAAUAUCUCACUUAUUCACUAAAUACUAAUGUAUAUUUGAUACAAUUUUCUAGAUAUCUCCCACAUUUUGAUGUACAUUUUCACUUUUCUUUACUAUCUAAUUUAUUAUUAAGGAAAUAAUGUACUGUGAUUGAGAGUUUCAAUUCAAUGAUAAGAUUAUAAUAGUCUCGUUCUUCAUACAGUGUAAAUUUACAAUAAAUGAAGUACACCAUAACAACAUGCAUGUAUUUUCUUUUCGGAAAAGACAUCAUUCCCACCCCAUACUAUACAAGAAAAGUUUAAGCCACACCUAAAUUGUAUAAGUGACCUAUUACACACCUUAACUAUAUAAAAGUGAUAUUAUUACCUCUCCGCGACCCCCAUUCUAAGGCGCGUGUGUUACACUUAUUUUAGGCGCGUCCAGCCUAUUAAAUAACAAAAGUAAACGGCUAAAAACAUUAAGGGAAAAGGCAUCGUUUCCACCCCAAACUAUAGUCGAAAAGUCGAAUCAACACCUAAACUAUAUAAGUGACCUAUUACACACCUUAACUAUAAACAAGUGAUACUUUUUACUGACGUGGCAGCGCGUGUAAAACACUACACCACAUGCAAGUGGUGGUAGCCUGACAGGGUGUAAAUAGUUUCACUUUUUUAUAGUUUAGGUGUGUAAUAGGUCACUAGUAUAGUUUAGAUGUGGCUUCGACUUUUCGGGUAUAGUUUGGGGUGGAAACGAUGCAUUUUCCCUUUUAUAUUCUGUAAACAUAACAAAUAAGAAUAAAAAUCUAGAAAAAAAAAAAACCAACGAUGUUGGUCACAUCAGCUUCCUCGUUCCAAGAAUUAUGGGAGUUUUAUAUAUUUUUUUAACCUUGUUGUUUUAUGUGGAGUCUACGAGGUACGAGGAUUAUGGUUUUGAUGAUCGACACUUGACCAGGUUCAUGUUAAUUGUGAAUCAAGUUCUUGAUUAUUGUUGGACUGGUCAAUUUAGUUAUGUGACAUGUAAUAAAUACUUGUUUAAAUAAAAAAUUCAUAAUUAAUGUAUUGAAAAGAAGCAGGAAUUCUAAGUCAUUUUUUAAAAAAAUUAUGGUAAGCCAGUGUAUUCUAGCAGUUUUUUUUAAUAAAAACUGAUUUGCACAAGGAAAAGUAAGUUGUUAAGGGAGGCAAACAACCAAUACAUACCCAACAAUGUAAUCAAUUUGGCAACGCCUUUUUGCACAUCCACAUAUCUAGGCAAUCACAAAAACAAGAAGGAGCAAGACAAAGAAAAUCAACAAGCUAAAGCAAGAACGAGCAAGACAGAGAAAAUCAACAAGCUGAAUAAUAUCAAGCUAUUAUCCGGUGGUAGUUUGGUGUCGAUUUUAGUUUUGCCUUAGAAGUUUUUUAUUGAAUUCUAAUAGCUUCAGUUCUGUGUUAGAACUUAGAAGUAAAGUGUUUGUGAGGCGUUGUAACAAGAAGCAAGUUUGACUUCUUAAGGCUCAUUUGUUUGCACUUAAUGGAGGUCUGAAUCUGAAUAGUUCAGACUUCAGACCAUUAAAUGCAUUUGUUUUUUUAUUAAGAUUUUAACUCUUAAUAGGUCUGAAUGGUCCUAAUCAUUCAGAUAUAGAAUCAAGUCUUAAUAGGUCUGAAGAGUUAUUCUGGUGUUGGAUAAUUUUCAACGUCACUCUAUUCAUAAUCAUCAGUCACCACCUCUGCCAUUGUCAUCAUUGUCAACUACCACCCACUACCACCAACCACCUUCACCAUCACAACUACCAUCGACAGCAAAUAUUGCUACCAACCACUAUUGUCAACCGCUACCACACCUACUACCUCUAUUAUUCUAAUUAUAUUUAACGCUACCACCAUCAUCAACAGCACUCCCAUCAUCAACCACUACCGGUCAAUCCCUACUAUCGACCAACUCAUUUAUCACAACUAGUACCACCGCUAACUACCACUAAUAUAUCACAACCUCCACACAUUCUUCGGCGGCCACCACUAUUGUCACUAGUAAUGUCACCUCUAUCAUCACUCCAAUCACUAUCAUCGCUAUACUUUAUCUCUACUAACAACCAUCUCUACCAUCACAACUAACAAUAUCUUCAACUAGAACCAACACAUUGUCAACCAUUAUUCAUUCAUUUUUCAGCCAUCAUAAUCAAAACUUUCAACUACUAACAUCAAGCAACGUCACAUCACAACUGUCACACCCCUUUUUCAACCAAAAAGUUUUUGAGUUUAAGGUUAAAAAGGGUUUUAUUAAACCAACGCGUCAAAAGAUGAAAAUUUGUUUCGAAAAAAGGUUAUUUUUACAUUCAAAUUCAGAGUCACCACUUGGCAUAAUCUGGUGUGCCAAGUCACCUUUGAAAAAUUCUUUUUAAAACGAUUUUUGACUCUUUCAAAACUGAUUUACGAACAGAGAUUCCGGCUAAGGAAUUCUGUUGACCAAGGGGAAGGUGUUAGGAACCCCUCGGUCCCGUGGUUCGACCACGGUCGCUUGGUGGAGAAUAUCAGAUAAUUUGACACUACGAAUGUAUAAACCACACAAAGCACGCAGAACAAUCAAUCAAGCAAACAAAACAAAAACAAUCCAAAAUUUAGUGCUCAGUCCAAUUAUACAGUUUCGAAAUAGAAAAAUGUAGAAAUAUAAACCUACACUAUUCUAGGCUAAUCUUAAACUAUGGUCCAUUGCUUUCUACACCCAACGUUCCGGGCCUUGAUCGUGCGUCGUCUUCAAGUACAUGAUACUUCGGGGCAUCCCUAGUGAAUAAAUACGAUUCCUUCGGAGCAUUCCCCGGUAAAUGAAUACAAUAUCAAUUUCAUGAGAUAAACUAGAAAACAUCUGACACAUUUAACAUUCCACGCAUUCAAUCCAACAUCAAUCCUAAGUUUUACCUACUCGAAUCUAUAUUUGCCUAUCCAUUUCAACAUAUCAUAAAUCUAUCACGUUCCGAUAAUAUUCAUGCUUAUUCCGGAUUAAAAAAAACAAUGAUCAACCAAAAUUGAUCUAUAUUUGCCCAUUUUCAUUAAUUUCUUAAUUCCACCCCACGAAUUCCAAUUCCUCAAUCACUCUAUCCACAUGAACCAAAUCAAUCAACAUCAACCACGGUAAUCAAAGUUACUUGAACCAAUAUCAAAUCACGUCACCACAUCACAACAACAGCCACAUCGACGUAAGAAAAGAGAUAAGGCUAAGGGAUGGACCUUUGAAAGAUUUGAUUCCGUUGAUAAUAAUGUUUAAGAAAAUCCGGACGUAGAAUUCCGAAUAGAACCUUAGCAGCGACGAACUCCAACUCUAUAUCAAGGUAUUUGAAACCCCAAAACUGACCUCAAUAGACUGAUCGACACGAAAGGAAAACUAGAUACCCAAACUAGGAACGAAAACUGAGAAACCCGAAACCCGACUUUGAAUAUGAAUCAACUAAGAUGAACCUGAAGCUCCGAAAGUCCCAUCGAACCUACAAACCUACAGAAAUCGAGUUCGAUGAGCUGACAAUGAGCAAAACUACUAAAACGAUCAGAUUCCAGCAAUAUCGCGUUUAGAAAUUAAAGGAAAAUAAAGGGAAUUUGGCGAUUAGGAGACUAAUUCGAACGACGAUCGGUUGAAACUGAUUUCGGCCCGAAGUCAUCGAAAAUUACGUGUCUACAACAACCACCACCAUCACUAUCAACCGUCACCAUCAUAACGGUCACUACAAUACCAACCAUCACAACUAUCACCACUAACAUCCAUUAUUGUCACCGCAACCACUAUUAUAAAGCAUAUCUGCUAUCACUAAAAAACAUAAAUAUUUUUUUAUUCAAUUAAAUAAUAAUUUUGUUGUAUUAAAUUACAUAUUUUUCUGAUAUCUAAUUAAUUUUUUAUUUGAAUUGUAUUUUUUAUUUUAUUAUAUAUAGAAAUAAUUUUUUUUGUACAUUCAGAUAUUGAAAAACAAACAAUCUUAAUCAUUCAGUUUUCAGAUCUAGAGACAAUAUCUUAAUCAUUCAGACGUGCAUUCAGAUUCAAACGUCAGAAUCUUAGAAAAAACAAAUGCAGCCUUAGAGUGGUUAAGUAGUGUACAGAACAGUUAGAGUUAAUUGUUGAGGUAAAGUACUAGAUUGAAUCCCUUAGACUGUAGAGUUGUAAUUUGAAAUGUUGAUGGUGUGAAGAUAGUGGAGAUUGGUGUUGAAAUCUCCUAGCAUAUUGUUCGUGUUUAGUUUGUUUUUACUAUUUACUACAUUUUUCUGAACCAGGUUUCUAAUACAUGUGGUGGAGUUAGCUGUUUUAUCAUUUUAAGCCUUCAGUUUCAAUUUUUUUGUCUAAAUUUGACUCAAGCUUAUGAAAUUAAAGAAGAUGGUUGAAUCUUGUAAUCUUAGACUAAAGAUACGUUGAACGUAUGAUAAUGAACUUUAAUUUUAUGAUCUUAAGCAUGUCACGAGAAAAGUUAAAAUUAAAGAGUUGCCAAAAAAGAAAAGAGACAUUCUUUUUUAAACAAAUUACGAAGAAAAACAAGAGAAACAAAUUGACAAGUAGGAACAAUAUAUUAAGUUUAAACAAUUCUGUUCCUUUUACUUGAGCUUACUCGUACCACUUCGUAAAGAGGGAUUUUUUUUUUUUUGGGCAAAUUUGGGACCACUCGGAUAUUAUCCGAAGUGAAAGAACCUCAAAAAACAAUAAGUACAAGUAAGAGGGGUCAAAUCUUACCAUAAAAAUCUUAAUGAAAUCAAAUCCUCUACUAAUACUAUCAAGCUAUGUAAGAAAUAAGAAUUUGAAAGAACCAAAUAUUUAAUGAUCAUUACAAGUAUUUAUAACACACUUUAUAAUAAUAUUACAAAUAAAGAUAUUAACAGGAGAGAUAAACGUAGUUAUUGGAGUGUAAAUUUUGUGUUUAACUAAUGUGUGAGUGUAGACACAUAAUUUUGUCCCCCUCAAAAGUUCGUUUUUAUUCAUUUCUACCUUAUCAUAUCAUGUACUCUCCCCACGUGAUUACACCCCACAAAUAAUACAAAAAAAAAAAAAAAUAACUCUCAACAAAAUCCCUAACAAACUUUUAUUCUUUUAACACCCUAACAACCCUCUCCAAUAAAAAAGUGACAAAUCACCACCUCACCACCCCAUACCCUACCCUUUACCCCUACCCCACGUCCUCCCCCCUCUUUUUUUCUUGUCCAAGAAGAAAGGACUCAAAAACCAAAAAUACAAUAUAUAUAUAUUAACCACUCGCAUUUAAGCAAAUAAUCUUAUUUCUUUUGAAUACUCUCCAAGAGUUUCAACGAUUUUCAAACCAUCAAUUUAUCCCUCAUAAGGAUAAUAAAUAAGUUUUCCAAAAACUUUAUAUGCUUCAGGCAUUUUGAAUCCUUUAGGGAUUUUCAUAUGGAUUUUUGUAAAGUGACAAUACCAAUAUGUGUGACAUCUUCAAGUGUCUGGACUGCAAAUCAAAUAAGUUUUAUGCUUACCAAGAUGCAUCCUUUCACGUCACUUGAUAAAUUUUUCUACGUCAACAUACUUAAAUUAACGUAGAAUUCAGAUCUUCAUAAUCUUUUUACAAUAUUGCGCCAAUAUUGUAUCAUAGAUAUCGUCGAUGAUUUCUUAUUUUGUAACGAUUCACAAUGCGACAUAACAUUUUGAGAUCUCAUCACUUCAUUAUUUUCAGGUACCUAAACCUCUCAUAAGGUUUCAUGAAGUGUUAUGUCGUAGGCUCUUCAAGAGCUUAUUGCCUUCUUAUUAUGAUUAUUUGCUCCUUAUUUUUCAAGGACUAUUUCAUUUAGAACCGAUUAGUCCACCACGCUUCACGCAUGCAUAGACUUUGUCCUUUAGGAACACAAAAUAAGAGCACUUGCGCUUAAUAUGAGAUGCUUUCGGCAUUUGACUUGAAUUAUCUUUUGGAUGAGGAUCUGGUGAUAAUUCCUAACAUAUUUCAUAGCGCUUAUAAUCUCCCCCUUAUGUUAGAAAAAGUAGCAUACAUCCUCUAUUUCUUUGAGGAAUCCAUCAUUGUGCAUUAUUGUAUAUUCAUUAAUCGUAUAUCGCACAUCAAAAUUAUUAGAUAGAAUAAUUGGUUCAUGACCUUGAACCAUAUAAGGGGAAGAAAUAAUCAUAAUUUAUUAAUCUAAUGCAUACAAGUGUUAUUGUAUGCAACAUGUCAUAUUUCAGAUCAACACAUGAAGCUUUGUUCUCAUUAGCGAUGGUUUAGCUAUUUAUCGAAGGCAUUCAAUGCCAAAUCAUCAUCAUCAAGAUAACUUUCGUGUUGCACAAUCUGAAAAUUAUGUUCUUAACUCAAUUUUGUUGAGCAAGCAACUUUAUGAAUGUCAAACUGCAGGUUGACAAUGAAAGUAUAUGUGAUCAUCUUAUUGAUGCAUCAUUUUAACAUAUCACAUGAUAGAUGAACGAGCCCUUAUUCACCUUUUAUUCAGAUUUGAAGGUCCAAUCCCAAUAUUAGUUGGUCCAACCAACUUAUCAUGAGAACAAAUUAAACGACAUAAACAAUCCUUGAAGAAUCUUGUAGUUCUUCAAUACAUGCAAAUUUUCGAGAUGUCACAACUUUUAUUCUAGUAAACUCCAAGUUUACCAUGACAUGUACUUUUUCUUUAGUAAAUUUCAGAUUUACUAUUACAUGAAUAAAUUUUAGAUUUACUACUUCAGAAGUAGAUUUCAAAAUUAUUCAACCUCUUUCGGAGGUGAGUUGUGAUACAAUCANNNNNNNNNNNNNNNNNNNNNNNNNNNNNNNNNNNNNNNNNNNNNNNNNNNNNNNNNNNNNNNNNNNNNNNNNNNNNNNNNNNNAUAACCUCUUUCAAGAUUUUGCUACUUCAGAAGCAAAUCGAGGCAUACAUAUGAUGUAGAGAAUUUUUCUCUAGCAUAUCUUAUAAUCAUAUAAGCGUGUGAAAAUAUCAUCACUUUUGAUGAUCAUUAUUAUAUUCGUGCAUUCAAUCACUUGUCUUUUUUCAGACAUAUUAUGCAUUGCUACCACAUACACUUCAUGGAAUGGAGCAUAUUCAAUGGGUCAAAUUUCAUGACUUUUCACCCAAUACCCAUUAUUUUUCCUUAGCCAUCACAAUAUCAUCAAUUUGGUGUAUCGAGAUUCAAACUCAAUAUUUUAUCCAUAUAAAGGCGUCUUAGGCAUAAAUCGAUGGGACUUGAACUCAAAUAUUAUCGUCCCUUUUGAUAAUAUUGUUCUUGAAGAAUGAAUUUUAAACAUAAAUGGUUUCAAACCAAUUAUUUUUCCUCAAAUCCAACAAUAAUUAUAUCAUUAAUAGAAAAAUACAAAUAACAUAAGGAAUUACUAACCUUGACCUUUAGAUUUAUAAUCUCACCUUAUUUGGCAGAAUCUCGUGUUGAUAAUGUGUUAUAAAAUAAUAAAGAAUAAAGAAGAAGAGUAGAGAGAAUAGAGAGAGUGAUUCUUAUUUCUUCUCUUGAGGGAUUCUUGAGGGGUCAUCAGAUUAUAAAUACAAUGAAUAAAACCUCUCUAUUUAUGGGAGAAAUUUACUCCUAGUCUAAGUAAAAGAAGAAUGCUUCAAAUCCUAAUAGAUAUCAACAUAGAUCUUGAUAGAUAUGUGUCUCACCCCCUUUUUUUAAACUCCAAAAAGAUUAUUUAAGGUUCGAAAGUGUUUUUAUUAUUAAAGUGAUAAAAGGAAGAUAGUUUGUUUCUAAAGGGACCUUUUACAUUCAAAACUCAGAGUCGCCACUUGGCAUAAUCUGGUGUGCCAAGUCACCAUUGGAAAGUCCUUUUCAAAACCAUUUGACUCUUUAAAUUAGUUUGUGAACAGAGAUUCCGGCUAAGGAAUUCUGUUGACCGAAGGGAAGGUGUUAGGCACCCCUCGAUCUCGUGGUUCGACCACGGUCGCUUGGUGAAGUAUAUCGGCUAAUUUGAACACUAUGAAUCAAUAAACCACACGAAACACAAAUAAAACGAUCAAUCAAACAAAUAGAUCCAAAACAAUGUCCAGUCCAAUUAUACAGUCCAAAAAUAGAAAAAAGAAUGCGAAAAUGUAAAUCCUAUUCUACCCUACACUAAUUUUAUACUACGCUCCCAUGCUACCCGAUGCCUCGGGCCUUCAUCAUGGACGUCCUCCAAAUACAAAAUACUUCGGGGCAUUCCUCGGCGAAUAAAUACAAGUGAUCGCGGGACAUUCUCCGAUUAAAUGAAUACAUUUCCAAAUGCAAGAACUAAAACCAAACUGUUCAACUCAAAUUUCACAUUCAAACAUUCAACAAGAAAACUUAUUCCUAAAUUUUUUGCCUACCCGAAACAACAUUCUCCUAUCUAUUUCAACAUAUCAUAAUUUUAUCACAUUCCAACAAUAUUCAUGCUCAUUACGAAUUAAACAAAACAACAAUAAACCAAAGCUAAUCUAAAUUCAACUUUUUUAUCAAUUUAUCAAUUCCAUCCCCCAAAUCCAUUUUCAACCACAUUACUAAACCAGUUCGACUAUCAAAUCUUUUCAAAAUUCAAAACCAACAACACAUACCCCAACGAAGAUUCAAACAUUUAAGCAUUCCAAUCAUUCAUAUCCGCAAUAACAAUUAACAUUUUUGCUCGAAAUAUUCAAAACCACACUACAAAAUCACGAUAUUAACCAACUUCGAUAUAAUAAAAAAGUAGAGUUGAGAAAUGGACCUUUGAAGAAUCGAUUUCGUUAAUAAUAAAAUCAAGAAAGCCCGGACUAUAGAAUUCCUAGUAGGACCUCAACAAUGACGAACUCCAACUCCGUAUUGAAAAAUUUAAGACCCAAAACGGAAGCUCCGUAAAUCUAAUCGAACUCAAAAACCAACACUGUUCACGUACUGUUCACAACACUGUUCACGGUACUAUUCAUAACACUGUUCACAGCACUGUUCAUGGCACUAUUCACGAUACUAUUUCUUUCUGAAUUUUUUUUCUCUCGCGCGAUUCUCUCUUCUCCCCCUCUGUUUUUUUAUUCUUCUUGUGAGGAAGAUGAUUUGGUGAUGUUGUUAUUGUGGAGAAGAUGAUGAUGAAAGAAUGAGCCUCCCUUUUCCCCUUUUAGAAUUUUCCUUUUAUAUAUUUUUUAUUUGGUUUUUCUUUUUCUUUAUUUAUUAUCAUAUGUGGAAGCAUAUAAUUGGUGGCUUGUGGGAAUAAGUGUGUGGCAUGUGGAAAAGUUAGUGUGGCAUGUGGAAAGAUGAGAGUGGUGUGUGGAAAAAUGAGUAGGGCGUGUACCUUUUGCAUGUAUACAAUGAAAAAUGAAAAGUGAGGUGUUGAGGUGGCAUAGUGAGGUGACAAAGAUGCUAUGUAUUUAAUUAUUUUCAAUUCUUUUUUUUUUGGAGAAAUUAUCAAUUAAAAAAAAGUAUGAUAAGGUGAAUAAUAUAAAAAUAAAAAAAUUAAAAUUAAAAUUAAAAUAAAUAAAAUAAAAUAAAAAUAAUUAAAAUAUUUUUGGGUUAGGACAAAAUUACGUGUCUACAUCAUGCCCCCUUUGAUGUAACACAUGGUGUUUUCAUACAAAGCAGUAGACAACGUGACAGAAUUUUGUCCUGACCUUUAUUCAAAAGCACGGAGCACGAGAAAGGAGGAAAACCAAGUUUUUACUUAGGAUAUCCUACCUACCCAAGUUAUGAGGGAAUCAACAGUUAUCUCAAAGGAUUGGAAGAAGCUGGACUAUGCCGAGUUGGAGAAUCGAGUGAGGUUCCAUCGAGGUUCCGGUCCGCGGCUCUGUUAUUACAUCAAAAAUAAAAAUUACAAGUUAAAAACAAAAAUAAAAUUACAAAAUCCUAUCUACGCAGCUUCUGUUGGACUCUUGACUUGAGUUUCAUCACUCUAUUCUUCAGGCGAGCUCCUGAUUUGAAAUUUCUUCAACUUGUUGCUUGGUUUUCAAUUUCAUCACCCUGUUCUCCAGACGGGCUCCUGGCUUGUUAUUUUCUAUCUGUUGACUUUCAUUUUCUUCAGUUUGUUACUUGACUUUCAACUUCUUCACCUUGUUACUUGACUUUCAAUUUCUUUACCUUGCUGGUUGACUUUCCAUUUAUUCUCCCUGUGCUUCGGGCGGGCUCCUGAAAUCACAUCAAAACUAGAAAAAAAAUUAUCCCAAACAAAUAUUAUUAUAAAGAGAUUUCAUAUGCCAGGAAAGUAAAGUUCUAACACAAGAAUUAAAUUUUGCCCCAGUUUGGACUUUUGCGAAAGUCAAAUCAUUAUAGGAAUCAAGGAGAAUGACUCGAUUAUAAGGUGCGUCUGAUAGGAAUCAAAGGAAUUGGCUCAACUAAAAGGUACGUAUUUGAGGGAUCAAGGAUAAUGACUCGACUAAAAGGUACGUCUUAUAGGAAUCAAGGGAGAUGCCUUGACUAAAAGGUACGUCUUACUAGCAAUCAAGGGAGAUGACUCAACUAAAAGGUACGUCUUAUAGGAAUCAAAGGGAAGGACGCGACUAAAAGGUACGUCUUCUAGGAGCCAAAGGAAAUGACUCGACUAAAAGGUACGUCUUAUAGGAAUCAAAAGGAAUGACUUGACUAAAAGGUACGUCUUAUAGGAAUCAAAUGAGAUGACUCGACUAAAAGGUACGUCUUAUAGCAAUCAAAAGAAAUAACUCGACUAAAAGGUAUUUCUUCUAGGGGUCAAAGAGAAUGACUCGACUAAAAGGUACGUCUUAUAGGAAUCAAAGGGAAUGAAUCGACUAAAAGGUACGUCUUCUAGGGGUCAAAGGGAAUGACUCGACUAAAAGGUACGUCUUAUAGGAAUCAAAGACAAUGACUCAACUGAAAGGUACGUCUUAUAGGAAAUAAAAAAGAUGACUCGACUAAAAGGUACGUCUUAUAGGAAUCAAAGGGAAUGAAUCGACUAAAAGGUAAGUCUUAUAGGAAUCAAAGGAGAUGACUUGACUAAAAAGUACGUCUUAUAGGAAUCAAAGGGAAUGACUUGACUAAAAGGUAGUGUUCUAGGGGUUAAAGGGAAUGACUCGACUAAAAGGUACGUCUUAUAGGAAUCAAAGGAAAUAACUCGACUAAAAGGUACGUCUUAUAGGAAUCAAAGAAGAUGACUUGACUAAAAGGUACGUCUUAUAGGAAUCAAAGGGAAUGACUCAAAUAAAAGGUACGUCUUAUAGGAACCAAAGGGAAUGACUCAACUAAAGGGUAUGUCUUAUAGGAAUCAAAGGAGAUGACUCAACUAAAAGGUACGUCUUAUAGGAAUCAAAGGAAAUGACUCGACUAAAAGGUAUGUCUUUUAGGGAUCAAAGGGAAUGACUCGAUGAAAAGGUACGUCUUAUAAGAAUCAAAGGGAAUGACUCGACUAAAAGGUACGUCUUUUAGGGAUCAAAGGGAAUGACUCGACUAAAAGGUACGUCUUCUAGAAAUGAAGGUUCAAUUUAAGAAGUGUAUCAUCCAGCAAAUGAAAACUGAAAUUCCUCGACAAGUAAGUGUGUCUCCGAGGGAUAUAAGAUGAUGAAUUUUUACCAUGAUUUAAUUAUCAAACCUGUGCAACAGCAUUGCUUCUCGCAUUUGUAAAAGUAAGAAAUUACGGGCCUUGAUGUUUAGGAUUUGAAAUCCUUGAUUUGAAGGUAACAUGUGUUCCUGUUUCAUGCAAAGAAAGGUUGUGAGAUCAAAAACAUAGUGACUGGUUUGUGGCUUUGGCUUUCGUGGAAAACGCUCUUGCCGUCAUCAUAUUUAAUCUUGCUUCCAACCAUUAGUCUGUGUCAUUGACUUGCUGCUUUAUUGACCAAACUCAGAUUAUUAAGAGUGACUGAGACAAACACAGCAUCUCUGCUUUGCCAUGCUUCUCAGGUAGACCACCUUGGAACCUUGGUAUUUCAUGAGUUCCCAGACUUAUUUGUUAACAAAACUUUCUGCUUGCCUCAUUUUGGCUCACAAUCAUGUCUCUUUCAUGCGUUGGCCUUUCUGCCUUACUUUGUACAAUUGAAGAAGCUGGUAGCCAGUUUUGAAAUUUUUUCUCACUUGUUUUGACAUAGACUUGACUCAAAUACAAGAGAAAAAUGACAAUAAUUUUGUUUGGAUAACUGACUCAAGAAAAAUAAAAAUAUAACUAUAGAAAAGAAAGAAAUGAUAAUGAAUGUCCCCAUUGAAAAAAAUGAAAAAAAACUUUAUCUGAAAAUGAUAGUCAACUCUAAUGAUUAUGACAUGCAUAUCGGAUUAAACUACCUGAUCUUUCCAUCCAAAACUCUCAUAAAUUGUUGUUGAGUUAAUGACCCUGAAAGUGGGUUGCUUUCUUGGGCCAAUUGCAUUCGGAGACCACAUUCGGCUAGUGACGCCUUGAAGGGUUUUCUUCAAUAAGCCUCUCUCAUUUUCUUUUAUCACCUGACCAUUGCCUUAUAGUAUCCGAGAGGGUUUUUUACCAAUAAGAUUCUUAUUUUCAUUUUUCUCAACUCAUAGUCGUCUUACAGUGCCCGUGAGGAUGAGCAUUGUGGAUAAAAAACCUUGUUGCAAGUGGUUAUGUGGAUUUCUUGGAUUUUGGGGAAAGAAACCUUAUUGUAAGUGGUUAUGUGGAUCUAAUAUGUAAGCUCGGGAUUGAGGCUGACAGUACUGGUGGGUUGGACCUCUCAAACUCUACUUUGGUCCUGGCAUGACAAUAGGUACAUUUUUCUUCUUCUUUUCUUCAGUUUCCCUUGUUUGAUUGCAAUGUCGUCCUAAAUGUUUCACAGAAUCCUUCUGUCCAUCAGGCUCCCCAAAUUUUGAUGUCUCAAAGCUAGGAGGAAGAUUAACACUUGAAGACAUGACCUUGUUUUUAUAUGAAACAUCUUCAUAGCCCAUAAGUUCAGGGGAAUUUUUCAUAUCAUUUUCUACACUCUUAACUUUCCUAACCAUUUUCUCUAGCUCUUCUAGCAUGCUAGGCUUCUUAGUAAAAAAUUUUGACGGUCCACUUAAUUUAACGGUAGGCUCAAGAGUAUAACAAUGAUCAUCAAGAGUAUUGAACGUGGAUUCAUGACUAGUGGACUGGAGAAACACAAUCGUUGGAUUGAUAGCCAAAGUGGAAGUCUUAGUAGAAGGUUGAGCAAUAAAAACACAGACAGUAUAUGAUGCUGUGAAUGUGGUAGACUUAUACUGAGGAGCUAAAGAAAGAGUGGUGGAAGUAUUGAGGUGCAUUUGACGUGGAAUGAAUUAUGAGGCAUGUUGUGGUAUAUCAACAACAGUAGGAAAUUGACUUUGCGAUUUUGGUGGAAGACUCAAGGUAUUUGCAGGGUCAAAAGUGGGGAACGGAGGUGGAGGCAGCCCACUGGCCCAAGCUCGGUAUAUUUCCAUCAUUUGUUGUCUCAGUCUCAAAUUCUCUUUCUUUAAACUCUCAAUUUCCUGACUCUUUGUUUUAUCCAUGGUGCCACUUUUUAUAUCCUUGUUGGACACAACUAAACCUUCCUUGAAUUUGGUGUGAUAUGGAGGACCAGUCAGGAAGUCACAAACCAACCACCAUAAACUAACUGAACAAGAGGCAACAAAUAUGUUAGAGUUCAACAUUUUUCAAAACCUCUUUUUUUUUUUAGAAAAGACCACCGAACCCAAGAAGGGCGCCUGCAUAUCUCACCCCCGAGAGAGGAGAAUCAGGUGUGCGUAGUUCGUGAAGUCUUGCUAAAAUGGCCAAUUAAACUCUUUGUUUUCUUUCUUUUUUUUGUUCUUUUUCUCGAAACUUUAAGAAGAAAAGAAAAUAACAAUUUGUCAAAAGAAUUGACGAAAAUGUUUUUGAAUUUUUCAGCUUUAACAUCCCUAUACAAAGUGAAAUCAAUGAUUACCAAAUAAUUUUUUUUGGGGGGGUUUCAGUUUUAAAUUUCAUAUGAAAAUGAAACCUGAACCUGUUAAAGGGAAAUCUUUUUGCAGUUUUCUUUUAUUGAUGCAUAUGACACCUACUCUAAAUGAUGAGUGAAAAAAAUAUUUUUAAAUUUUUUAAAUAAGAUCCCCGAACCAACAAUAGGUUGUCUACGUAUCUCACAUUCCGAAAGAGGAGAAUCAGGGGUGGCGUAGUUCGUCCAGAUGGGACAAUUAAAAAUUAAAUAACCGACUGAACCCUGACUUAAUAGAUGAGACUACAACGAUAAAAAUCUUUUUUGAGGUUUUCACUUUGACACUCCACAUAAAACUGACACCAACAACUAUGAAAGAAAAAUCUUUUUGAUAUUUUCAUGAAAUGUACAAAACUCCUACAAUUUUUACAUUUUUCUUUUAUAAAAAAUCCUAUGAAUGAAUUUUUUUUUUUUUAAAGUUUUUGAAUUAUGAAUACUUGCUUAAGGAAACAAAAGAAAAAUCUUUUUGAUGUUUUUGAUUUUGACAAAUGAAUGCAAAAGGUGAAAAGAUUUUUUUGAAUUUUUGGAUUGUGAAAAACGAAAGCCCUAAAGAACUCUAAAAACUACGAAACUCUCUCUUUUUUUUUCUUCGACUCACUUUUUUCAUUGCCUUCACACUUGAUUUCUAACACAUGUUUUCCCCAAAUCGGUCUGUCAAAAGACCCCAUUAUCCUCAAAGAUGCAACGUUUAGCACGUAGGGAUGAGGUAGAGGUGAGUCUCCUAUAAAAGACCAAAUGGGGCCCGCUAGGUAUCAAUAUGAUGAACAUAGUAUGACCUAAAGGCUGACCUAUGCUAGGGUUCACCAACAAGGCUGUUCGGGGGAGCGUAUGGUCGAUAGUGGCAGCUUUAGCUGUCCACCUACUCCAUACCAGCCAACGGCUCCCCUCUUUUAAAAUAAGGGUGACUAAACUAUAGGUCCUGUACACAGCGUGUACGACAGAACUUGUUGCAGAAAGAUUGACUCGGGUCAUGCACAUGAUGCCAGAUAUAAAACGGUAACACAUAAGAUAAAAACUGUAAACAAAGAGCACGUAGGCACUUAACAAUGAUAAACAAUAACACAAAAUAACACAAACAAAAUGUCUAUACACCUAUAGUGACAAACUAAGCCGAUACAACUCCAAAAUAAACUCGAAUUCUAAAAAAAAUCCCCAGCAGAGUCGCCAGAGCUGUCACACCCCCUUUUUUUAAACUCCAAAAAAAUUAUUUAAGGUUUGAAAGGGUUUUUACUAUUAAAGUAACAAAAUGAAGAUAAUUUGUUUCGUGAAGGACCUUUUACAUUCAAAACUCAGAGUCGCCACUUGGCGUAAUCUGGUGUGCCAAGUCACCAUUGAAAAAUCCUUUUCAAAAUCAUUUGAUUCUUUAAAUUGGUUUGCAAACAGAGAUUCCGACUAACUAAUUCUGUUGACCGCGGAAGGGUGUUAGGCACCCCUUGAUCCCGUGGUUCGACCACGGUCGCUUGGUGGAGUAUAUCGACUAAUUUGACCACUAUGAAUGAAUAAACCACACCACACACAAAUAAAAUGAUCAAUCAAACAAACAAAUCUAAAACAAUGUCCAGUCCAAUUAUACAGUCCAAAAUAGAAAAAGAAUGCGAAAAUGUAAAUCUUAUCCUACCCUACACUAAUUUUAUACUAUGCUCCCAUGCUACCCGAUGCCUCGGGCCUUCAUCACGGACGUCCUCCAAAUACAAAAUACUUCGGGGCAUUCCCCAGCAAAUAAAUACAAGUGAUCGCAAGGCAUUCCUCAAUUAAAUAAAUACAUUUCCAAAUGCAAGAACAAAAACCAAACCGUUCAACUCAAAUUCCACAUUCAAACAUUCAACAAGAAAACUUAUUCCUAAAUUUUUUGCCUACCCGAACCAACAUUCGCCUAUCCAUUUCAAUAUAUCAUAAUUUUAUCACAUUCCAACAAUAUUCAUGCUCAUUACGAAUUAAACAAAACAACAAUAAAUCAAAGUUAAUCUAAAUUCAACUUUUUUAUCAAUUUCUCAAUUUCAUCCCACAAAAUUCAUUUUUAACCACAUUAUUAAACUAGUUCGACUAUCAAAUCACCUUUCGAAAUCUGAAACCAACAACACAUACCCCAAUGAAGAUUCAAACAUUUAAGCAUACCAAUCAUUCAUAUCCGCAAUAACAAUUAACAUUUUUGCUCGAAAUAUUCAAAACCACACCACAAAAUCACGAUAUUAACCAAUUUCGAUAUAAUAAAAAAGUAGAGUUGAGAGAUGGACCCUUGAAGAAUCGAUUUCGUUGAUAAUAAAAUCAAGAAAGCCCGGACUAUAGAAUUCCUUAUAGGACCUCAACAAUGACGAACUCCAACUCCGUAUUGAAAAACUUGAGACCCAAAACUGAAGCUCCGUAAAUUCAAUCGAACUCAAAAACCGACACUGUUCACGUACUAUUCAUGGUACUGUUCACAACACUGUUCACGACACUAUUCACAACACUGUUCACGGUACUAUUUCUCUCUCGAUAUUUUUUCUCUCGCUUGAUUCUCUCUUCUCUCCCUUGGUCUUUUUUGUUCUUCUUGUGAGGAAGAUGAUUUGGUGAUUAUUGUUAUUGUGGAGAAGAUGAUGAUGAAAGAAUGAGCCUCCCUUUUCCCCUUUUAGAAUUUUCCUUUUAUAUAUUUUUUAUUUGGUUUUUCUUUUUGUUUAUUUAUUAUCCAUGUGGAAGCAUAUAAUUGGUGUCUUGUGGGAAUAAGUGUGUGGCAUGUGGAAAAGUUAGUGUGACAUGUGAAAAGAUGAGGGUGGCGUGUGAAAAAAUGAGUAGGGCGUGUGCCUUUUGCAUGUAUCCAAUUAAAAAUGAAAAGUGAGGUGUUGAGGUGGCAUAGUGAGGUGACAAAGAUGCUUUGUGUUUAAUUAUUUUCAAUUCUUUUUUUUUUUUUGAGAAAUUAUCAAUUAAACAAAAGUAUGGUAAGGUGAAUAAAAUAAAAAUAAAAAUCAAAAUAAAUAAAAUUAAAUAAAAAUGAUUAUAAUAAUUUUGAGAAAGGAUAAAAUUACGUGUCUACAAUAUGUCAUGUGUCUUUCAUCUUCAGAAGAUCGUCAACUUAAAAGUUUAUCGGUUCAAAAACGGAGUUUGUAGAUAUAGCGCAUUAAACUACUGCAUUUGUACCUGUCCAUUAUUGCAGUAAAUCGGUUGCGAAGACUAAGGCUGGCAUGAGAGUAUAUUGAGUGAUCUAUCAAAAAGUUCAAUUUAAUAAAAUCGACAUAGGAGUCAUACUUUGUUCCCAUUAACGAAUAUCCAAAUUUUAAAUCAGAUUUAUAAAUAAAGAGAAAAUAUACCCAAUAUAACAUACGGGAGAGUCAUUUAACACAUUGUGAUAGUUAAAUCCAAAUAUGGUUUAAGAAAAAUAAAAAAAAAUCCAAGUAUGGUUUGAUGGACGCUAUUACUAUAUGUACAAAGUUGCUGAUGUUGCUUGAAGUUGAUUACAUACAUCACUAUUUUACUGUUUUUUUCAGAAAAUAUUUUAAACUUCAUUUUGAUAGUUGAUAAAUUGUUUGAACUUAUGUUUGAAGUUCUUGAAACUUCAUUUUGAUAGUUUAUAAGUUGUUUGAACUUGUGUUGAAAUUCUUGUAGAUUAAUAAUUAAUAUACAUAUUGUACCCAAAAAAUACACUUCUAUGAUUAAGCUUGUUGAAUUUAAUUGUUCAAGGGUAAGCAAAAUCAUACAAAACAAAUAAUAUGGAUUAUGCAUUUUAAGGUUUCGAACGGUAAAAAUGUGAUGUUAGAAUUAAAUUGAAUAAUAAAUGUACAAAAAUUUAUUUUGUAAUAGACUAAAAAUAAAAGUAUGUCAUAUCGAAGUUGAUGAAAAUGGUAUAUGGUUUUGCCAUAACAAUGUCAUAAGAAGAAUAUUUAAUUUGAUUCAUUUUUUCAUUUGUUUUAAUUUUUUUUUUUUAUCCUUUGUUUAUGGAUAUUUGAUUCAAUAAACUAAACUUCUAGCAUUAAAGUGUGUUCUAAUCAUUGAGAGACAAUUUAGGUAUGAAACUCAUAAUUUCAAUCAUGUUGGCAUCAAAAUAGAAAACUUAAAUAUUAUUAAUUAGGUAUAAUUUUUAUCCUUUUAACUCCUAUAAAAUUAAAAAUUAGAGGUACAAUCAAUAUAAUGUCAAUUUCAAAUAUGUCUUAUACAUACAUGGCAUAUUAGAUAUGAAAACAACGAUGGGCAAUUUCUUCAAGUUUAUGUCUUAUUCGUAGAGCUGAUAUUUUUCUUUAUUUGUUUCUUUCUUGUGAUGAGUACUAAUAGGAAAAAAGCAUAAUUUUUUUCUAACCAUAUUCAACUUCUUUCUCUUGUUUUUUGAUUAUUAAAGUGGAGGUUUUACGAUGUAUAUCUUCUUACAACACUCUUGAUAUGAAUGAUAAAUAUCUAAAUUACAUCUAUACAUUUUUGUAGACCGAGUUAUAAUCAUUUUUGAAAUUCCUCGGUAUUAAAUUCCCUUUGAGAAUCACUCAUUCAGUUCUUGUAUAAAGGACAGUAAGAAUUAUAUUGAUAUUUUAUUUUAGUCUACAUAAAAUUAUUUAUUUUUAUCACUCAACUCAAAUUAAUCUAACUUACUUCAACCCAAAUCCAACACGAACAUAACCAUUUUCACUUUCACUAGCUACACCAGAAAAGAUAUUUAAUGACAAUUAGUUAAUAAUAACAUUGUAAUUGUCGUUAAAUAUAUCUUUUAGAAAAAAAUAUUAGUAAAAAUUAGAUUAUAGCACUCUUUGUAAAUGUUCUAAAAUGAAUAGCGAUAUUGAAUUCAAUGCCAAUAAAAAUUGAAACAUUUUUUUUUAAAUAUAUGCAUUUAUUAUUGCUAAAAGUCUUUAUUAAUGUAUCGUGCAAAAUAGUGUCUUUACUCUUCUUUUUAUUUUUGUCACAAUGAUUUACUUUACUUUGUACUUGUCUGAAUUUGUAUUAGAGUAAAUACAUAAUUAUCUUUCUGAUCUUGUCCGAAUUUUAUAAAAAGACAUCUAAACUUUAACUUCAACCCAUUACCCCACGAAUCUUCUUUAUUCUGUUGCAAAUACACAAUUUUGACCCUCUGCGUGUAUACACGCGCCACAAACGCGUGAAAAGGCAAAAAUUGACUUUUUUGACCAAUUAAAAGCUGCCAAGUGUAAAUAAUUUAAUAUAUAAUUUAUAUUCUUUUUUUUAAAAUCAAUAUUUAUUUAUUUUUUAAAAUUAUNNNNNNNNNNNNNNNNNNNNNNNNNNNNNNNNNNNNNNNCAACAACAACAUCAAUUACAACAACAACAUCAAUUACAACAACAACAACAAUAUCAUCAUCACCAUAAUUUUAAAAAGAAAAUAUGAUGUACAAUCUCUAUUUUAAUGGAGCUUUAAACUCCAUUUUAAUGGAGGGAAUUGGACGGGAAUGGGGGAGGGAGGGGUUGGAAGGAGUGGGGGUGGGGAGGUGGGGUGGGGUCAUAAACAAAAAUGGAGCUUAAAGCUCCAUUAAAAUGGAGAUUGUACAGGAGCUUUAAGCUCCAUUUUAAUGGAGAAAACUAGAAGCGGGGGGAGGGGGAGCUGUUGGACUUGGGGUGGGGGAAGGGGGUGAUAAAUUAAAUAUAAAGGAAAAAAUUUAUUAAAAAAUAAAUAAAAUAUGAAAUUAAAAAUAUUUGACACGUGGCAUCACCUGAUUGGUGCGUGCAUUCACUCUCUUUUUUGUGACUGAGAUUCAGCGAAAAAUGAUGUAUUUGCAACGAAAUAAAGAAGAAUCGUGGGUUAAUAGGUCAAAAUUAAAGUUUAGGUGUCUUUUUACAAAAUUCGGACAAAAUCAGUGAGAUAAUUAUGUAUUUACUCUUUAUAUUAUGAAUACUUCUACUUAAUUCUUUAUCAUCGGACCCCUAUAUUCUCCAAAACAAAAAAAAUUUUAAACCCUUUUUACGAUUUAGGCCUCCUAUGUGGUAUAAACAACCAAGGAGCGGGUGCUAUAAAUAUUUUUGAAGCAUGAGACAUUAUAAAAAGGCUCAAUCAUCUUCUUUCCCAUUUACAUUUAACACCACUGUUGAAUAAUAUUAAGCUUUUUCUUACCUCUUUUUCGAUCGUCUCUCUUGAAAUUUCUUCUCCAUUAAUUUUUUUCUAGUCCUUACACAUUUCUUUUUUGUGCAUUUUCAUGUUAUUUUUUCCUUCAAUUUUAAUUUUGACAACUUUUUUUACUAUUGUGAACUUUAUGUCAUUGAAUACAAGCAUAGCACCUCUACAAAAACAUCUUACACUACACGAAACAAAGCAAAACCUUGGAAAUAUUUCAAUAAAAGCAAAUAUUAAUCAACAAUCUUAAAAUCAAAGAACGACACAAAUACUCAAACAAAAAGCAGCAACAAAACUUGACAGCAAAUAAUUAUGACUAUAAAUUGAAAACUUAAUUCGAUAGCUUGGAAAUCAAACAGAAACAAUAAGAAAACUCGAAUUAUUUAGUGAAAAUAAAAAAAAAUAGUAAAAAAAGAAAAGAAAAUGGGUGCCUACAUGAAUAACGGGUGAAUGAGAAGAUGUGAAGUUUUUAAAAUCUUUUAACUCUAUCCCGCGUCAUUUUGUACAUGUUAUUUUAGAAUUAUUUUUAAAAUUAUAUGUUAGCGUUAUGUUACACGCUCAAUUAAAUAGUCAAACUAAUUUAAAAAAUUACGUAACGAAAAAUUUAGAGAUUAAAAUGAUAAAGAAUUGAAUAAAAAUAUUCACAAUACAAACUCAAAUAAGUAUAAGUAUAUAUUUUUAAAAAUCAAACAACUAAAUAUGAUAUGUCAUGUGACCUUCAUUAUAAAAAAAAAGGCUUAAGUUAUAGACACGCACUUAAAGUUGUCCCGAAAAUUUAUUUGGACCCCUCAACAAUGGUAUGUACCUAUCAGGCACCUCAACUGCUAACACUAAUACCUAUCAAACACAAACAACUAAUUUGACAAGAAAAGUGUGUUACACUUUCGUUGAAUGCGUGAACAGUAGAAAAAAAAUACUAAUAUUUUAUUUUUUAAUUAAAAAAAUUAUAUUUAAAUUAUUUUAUUAAUCUAAUUUUUAAUUAUUUUAAUUUCUUAAUUUAAAAAUAAAAAGUCCAACCCCCAAUUCAUCUUGUCUUCACUCCCCCUCAUCGUCUUCUUCACAACACCCCCAAGUCAUCAUCGUCUUCACAUCUUUGUCCCCAUCAUCUUCAACCCCCCACCCUCCCCAUAGUCAUUGCUAACCCCCCNNNNNNNNNNNNNNAACCCCCCCCCCCUCCGCCGCCCCAUGCUGACAUCUUUUUUAUCCCAUUAUUGAUAUCAUUUUCUUCACACCCAUUUUUUGAUUUUAAAGCACUUUAAAAUUUAUAAUAUAACUAUUUCUAAACUUAGUCAUCUGAAAAUUUUAACAACUCAAUUGGUUGCUACUUGAAACUCACGCCUGUUGAUUAUGUUGAUUUUUCAUAUUGUAAUCUAUUCUCUAUAUUUAUAAGAGGAAGGGAAUGCCCUUCCACUACUUCCAAUUGAAAGAAAGGGUUUAACAUUCCUGGAAAUUACCCUCUCUUUCCUUUUGCUUAUUCCUUGUUUUAUACGAUAAUGCAGAAUAGCUACUUCUUCUUCUUCUUUGUCAGUAAUUUCUUGCAUAUUUAUCCAUGGCUUCUCAAUACAAAUCCACUCAAAAAUGGGAAUUUGAUACCUUCUUGAAUUUUGGAGGACAAGAUACCCGUUACAACUUUAUUAAACCUCUCCACAAAAAAUAGGAAACCAGUUUUUAAAAAAGGUUCAGCUUCUAUGGAAAAAAAAAAAGGGGAGGGGUGGGGGGGGGGGGAGAGGGCGAGGGGAGAGGUGUAAUUUACUUUUUUUUUUUUUAAUUCUAAAAUAAUUUAUUUUGGAGUUUAUUGUGGAGUAAUAUAUUUAAAAUAAUUUUUGAACCCACACGAUAUGUGUCAUUAUUUAAUUGAAUUUUUAAUUUAUACAGUAGUCUUUUUAAAAAAAAACGUUAGUCACGUAUUUUUUUUAUUGGUCAUUUUUGCCAUGUUAGGUAAGUGUGUUACACACGCUUUUUAAAAAAAAAAUUCGUUUGCCACGUAUUUUUUUUUAUUGGUCAUUUUUAUCAUAUCAUGCAAGUGUGUUACACACGCUUUAUAUCUUUUGUUGAUUGUUUAAAAAAGACUUAAUUGAAUCAAAAUUUGAGUGAAUUAAAAAUUUGAUAGGUACAUGUUUUAAUUAAGAAAUUUGAGUAAAUUUUUAAGAUAAUUUUAAGUGUUUAUUGAUGAUUUAAGCCUAAAAGAGAAUAUUGAGGAAUCAAACAUACAAUUUAAAGGGACAAUACAUUUGUUUUAUAGUUGACAUUAUUGUAUGUGAAAAUGACGGCGAUCGAUUUGAUCCCUCUAUUGUUUUAUUCAUAGAGCUAUAAUUUCUUUUUAUUUGUUCCUUUUCCAUAAUAAGUCAUAUUCAAACAAAAGUAGGGACAGCACCUUUGCCUGCAGCCAGUUAUUAGCUCAUUAAAAGAAUAAUCAAACAAAGGCUCAAAAAAAAAAAAAAAGAAUGUGAACUUGAUAUUAUUAGAGUCCGAAACUAAACUAUGCCAUCAAAUUAAAAAUUGCAUCAAAAUAUAUUAUAUAUUUAAAAUAAUACCAAACUAAAUAGUGAGUUAAGCAUAAUUUGAUACUUUUUAAAAUAUAUGGCAUACUAGAUAUAGAAAUUCAUAUCAGCACAAGUUUUAUAUAUUUUAUUUUUUUAUUUUAAUUUAAGUGGUUCAGAUAAAAUAUUAAAAUUAAAUUAAAUUUUUUUAUAAUUUUUAAAUAUUUUAAAUUAUUUAUAAUUGAUUUACAUUGUAGAAUUAUUAGAUAUUAUAUGUUACAUUUUUGUCUCAAUUUACGGAGCACUGAUGAAAUAUUUAAGAAAUUCAAUCAAAUUUGUUAAGUAUAUAGUUCUUUAGAUAUUGUACUUGUUAAUUAAUAUGAUAUUAAUAGAAUUUGAAAAGUCAAAAUAAUUUUUUAAAAUAUCCUUCAAAUAUUUUGAUUUAGUAUUAUUGUGAUUUAUAUUACUUUUUAUGUCAUUUUCAAAUAAUAUAUAACUUCCUUUACCUCAAUUUAUGUGUGCUGCUAGAAUCUCAAAUCAAUCAAAAAAAUUUAUGUGCUUUGAAAUAAUUUAAAUUGCUAAGUAUUAUAAUUUUAAAUAUUAUUAUAUAAUUUUUAAAUACAUAAAAUAUNNNNNNNNNNNNNNNNNNNNNNNNNNNNNNAUUAUAAAAUUUCUCUCGAUCAGAAGUCGACAGUUGAAAACAGAUAUGACAACUAUCAAUCGCUUGCUUACUCGCGUUUCUAUAGUAAAACUAGAUACAAAAGGCCCGUGGAAUAUUUUAAGUAUACGACAAAUAAAAUUUGGAGGCAACCAUAUAUUUUUUAUAUUCUUAAAUACUUUAAGUUAUACUUUAUUCAUAAUAUUCACAUAAUAUAUGUUAUAUAUUUUAUUUAAAUUUAUGUGGUGUAAAUAAAAUUUUGAAAGUCAAUAUAAAAUAUUUUAUAUUACGUACAUUAUAGAUAUUUUAAAUUGUUACUUAUUGCGAUUUAUAUUAUUUUGAACAUAAUUUUCACUUAGUAUAUAUUACUCUUUUUGUCUCAAUCCUUAUGGAUGUUUUGACGCGAUAAAUUCAAGGUCAAAUACAUCGACAAAUUCCUUAAUUUGGCAGGAUUUUUCACUUUGACACCUAAGGUGAAUAUUGUUAAUUUUAAGCACCCAAACCAACUACAAAGUGUGUCAUUUUGAUACUUUUUUGCAUCAACUCUAGCACGUGAAUUGUACUCGCUUUUAACAUGGAUUAAAUGACCAAUUAAUUUGUGUCACCUCAUUUUAAAUUGUCAUAUCAUUAUAUGCAUACAUAAUUAUUUUUUUAUAAAAAAAAAUAAAACACAUUACAAGGUGUCCAAUGAAUUAAUGACACGUGGCUUUUGACCACAAUAUUACAAAAGUACUUUGACUUCAUCUUCUUCACCCAACCAUUCUUCAAGCUUAACCUCCAUCAAUGAAAGUUGAAUUUUUCAAGAAUGAUAAACAUACCUCCUCAUUCUUUUACGGAUGAUAGAUCCUGACACUGACGCAUAGUUCAUUGAUUAAAAUGCACCAUAAGAGCAUAUUUUUUACUUAUAAACAUACGUACACCUGGCUCAUCAGACCUAUCCGGGCAGUCACAAAAAUCAUCAUUGAGCUGAGCUUUAGUGAAUUUCUUUGACCCAUCUUUGCAUUUUGUAGCACCAGAUGUUAAACCCUCGUAAUAAUUCUCAACUGCAAUCAACAACAAAUCUUGAUGACUAUUUUCACUUAACAUCAACAAAAUCAUCAAAAACAGCUAAAUUAACAAUUAUUUCUACAGAAAAAAUUUCAUAUCACAAAAUGGGGUCAGCUGCACUUCCAUCAACAAAACUAAUCAUUAUCUCAACAGAAAAUUUGAAAAUUUCGCCCAUUUCCAUCAAAACAGCAAAAUUAACAACUAUUUCUAUAGAAAAGUAAAAGCUUUUUCUAUCCAAAUUUCAUUCACCUUGCGACUAGGAAUUAAAUUCCUUUAAAUUGUAUCUGAUUAAAUAUGUAGAUCGAUUCAUAACCUUUCAAGCACAAUCAUUUAAAAAUCACGAAACGAUUCAUCAAAAAAUAGCAAAUUUAGCAAUUAUUUAUUAAAUAUCAGCUCCAUUUGCAUCAAAAACAGCUCAAUUAACAAUCAUUUAUACUAAAAGAAUCUGAAAUCAAGAAAUGGGUCAUUAAUAGCUUCCCGAACUUCUUUAAACAUGCUCUUAUGAUGAAAAAAUGGUGAAAUAUGGUGGGAUGAAAAAAUAGGAAAGAAGGUGAUAAAAUUAAAUGAAAAAUGGGCUAAAAUAAAGUUGCCAUGCGUCAAAAAACGAGUGUUAUACACCCACUUUACUGAAUCAACAAAAAGUGUCAAAGUGACACAGUUUAUGGCUACUUUAGGUGCUUAAAAUGAACAACGCCCAUCUUAGUUGUCAAAGUGAAAGAACGUGCUAAGUUAAGGGACCUGUCAAUGUGUUUAGCCUAAAUUCAAGGUGAGGUGCCCUACUAUUUUCUUUUUUCGGAUGAUGUAGUUUUGAUUGAUAUGAUGAGGCACAUGGUGGAGUUAAUGCUAAAUUGAAGGUUUGGAGGUAAAUUUUUGAAUCUAAAAAAUUUAGAUUGAGUAGGUCCAAAACAGAAUAUUUGAUUGUAUUACUUGAUGAACUUAUAUAUGGUAUUAUUAAGUGUGUCGAUUUCUAUUAUAUCUUGUUAUUUUUUAUCUAGAUUGUUUAUCUUGAAUAGGGGAACUAUUGAAAAUAAUAUUUUUAUCUCAUCAUUGAUAUAAUAAUAUGAAUUGCAUCUACUUAUUCUUUUAGAUCCCACUUGAUAAGAAUAUAGUGAGUAUGUUAUUGUUGUAUGAAUCGUGAAAGUGAACCACAAAAAGAGAAAAAGAUGAUCACCCAAAAUGUAAAAGUGGGUUCCACAUAUAUUAAAGAAUUAAAAUAAUGAAAAAAUGUACUGUGAUAAACUAAAUUUAGGCCGGACAUUUUGUCUAAUAUCGAAAAUGUACACAUGCCUAAAAAAUUUAGAUGCAACAACGUGAACAUCCAAAAAUAAAACAUACCUAAAAUACCCCUAAAAGCACUCAUAAUUUCAUAAAGCACACAUGACAAUCAUAAGUUCUGUGCUUGCUCACAAUUCUAGUAGAUAGUAAUAAUAUGUUGGAUUACUUCAUUUUAUUUUACUUCCACAAGUAAGUCCAUAACAUAAAUUUUGAGAAACAAGAAAAUAUAAUAUGAUACUAUAUGAAGUAUUUUAAAAACAUUCAUAAUGCCUCAUCCGUUGUAUUUUAGUUGGCCGUUUUAUAAUUUCUUAAAUAUUGUGUAAAAUAAAAAGUGAUCGAUUAAAAUGGAAUGAAAAACCCGAUAACGUCAUUUUAACAUUCACAUCAACAAAUCAAUCAUGCCAAAAUAAGAGGAGGAUUUCCAGGUGGGAUCGUUGGCAAACUGCUUUCAAAACUUUAAUAGCAUUCAUCCUUUUGGGUUGGAUUUUCAUUUUAUUGUCUUGCCUCAUCCUUGAGGUUUUGAGCACGUCCACCAAUAUAUGUGGAUGCAAAAUGGAUAACUGUGUAUUCUAAUAAGCAUGGAUUUCCCAUAUUAAUUAAAAGAGAAAACGGUCAAAAGCCCCCCAACCUAUAUCCCAAAUUUCAACUACACAUUUAUACUUUGCGAGGGUCCUAUGAUCCCCUGAACUAUUUUAAAAUGAAAUUAUUACCCCUCCGAAUUAUUUUAAAGUGGAAUAUAUACCCGUCUAAAAGCUCAUACCCAGAUUUUAUUUUAAUUUGUGGUCUACAUGCGCUGCCACGUGUCAUGCCACGUAAUUCCACGGUAUAUUACUUUUUUUACUAUAAAAAAUUAAUUACUUGUCCUUUUCUCUUCUUCUUCCCGACCUAUUUGACUCUCUGGCCGUAGUUAUUUAGGUGGUAUUCCGAGAUCGAAUUCCUCCCGGGAACACACAAAACAAAGAUAUGAACUGGGUAAAUAGAAAUGGAAAAGAGAUGUUCUAUUUCAUCCAAAUUAGUUGCUUUUUCUACUAUUAGAAGUUUAGAACACAAGCCAAGAAACUCAAAACCACAACACAAGCUUCUUCUUUUUCUUCUUCAAUGGCAUAAUAAAUCAUAUGAAAUUCACACGAUAGGUAAUCUUAUCAAAAUCAAAUCAAUAAUUAAUGUCCAAAAAAAAUUCAAUUUUCACAAAAUGACGUCAAUUAAUUUUCAUAAAAUAGUCACUAUUUAUUUGUAAUUAGAACAAAAUUCUUAUUUGGACUUACUUAGUCUUUACAUAUACUCCAUGUCAUGUUGCUAAUUACCUGUUUCAAGUAAAUAAUUAAUUAAGUCGCAGGGCCAAAUUCAUCCAUAAAUCAAUUUCCAGUUAUCAAGAGAAUUAUUUUAAUAGAAAAUGGAUGGACAAACAUUUAAGCACAAACUUUUUCCUUUUGCUCUUAUCAUGGGAUUCUCAAGAUCCAACAUAUAUACUAAACCUUGUAUGUCAGUUUCCUUAAUGUUUUCACAGCCCGAAUUUAUUUUUUUCGAUGAAUUUCAGCAUUCUCAACGUCAAUCAAUUUUUGGGAAUCUAAGAAAUGAUUCUAACUAAGAAAUUAAUUCAAAAUUUUCAAUCUGAAUUGAUUUAACAUUCUCAACGUCAAUCUGAACUGGUUCUAUGAAGUCGGAACAAGUCGAUUUUAUGCUUUGAGAUGAGGAAGAUGAUAAAUUAGUCUUGAAUGUCAUUGAUGAGUUUUGGAUGCCAUUGAAGAAGAAAUGUCAUUGAUGGGUUCUUGGAUUCCACUAAAGAAGAAGAAGAAGAAGAAUUGAAGAAUAAGAAAUGAAGAAGAAGAAUUGAAGAAGAAGAAUUGAAGAAGAAGAAAGAAAAAUAAUAAUUGACAUUGAUGGGUUCUUGGAUGCCAUUGAAGAAGAAGAAGAACAAGAAUUGAAGAAGAAAAAUGAAGAAGAAGAAGAAGAAGAAAGAAAAAUAAUAAUUAAAAUUAUAUAUAUUUAUUUAAAGAAAUAUUAAAAAUAAUUUUUUAAUAAAUUAUUUUCGUUCUCACUCUCUUGCCAUGUCAGCGUUUGGGGGUAAUAAUUUCAUUUUAAAAUAGUUUAGGGAGGUUAUAGGACCCCCGCAAAAUAUAAAUGUGUAGUUGGGAUUUGGGCUAAAGAUUGGGGGGCUUUUGACCAUUUUCUUUAAUUAAAAUACCCCCUCCGUCCCAUUUUAUGUGUCGCCAUUUGACCGGGCGCGGAGUUUAAGAAAUAAGGAAAGAUUUGGUAAAAUUUACCAAAUUAUCCUUUAUAAAAAAAAAUGUCAAUAUAUUUUUUUUAAUUAAGUGGGACCAAUAAAGAUAAAAGGGUAAUUAUAUCUUCAAAAAGUUGCCAAAUAAGGAAAGACGACACUUAUUUUGGGACGAAUUAAAAAAAAAAUAAUGACACAUAAUUUGAUUACCUCUUACCAGAUUUAUUAACGUGGAGUCAUGUGAAAACUACGUAAUUAAAAUUUCUCCUUUCCUCCUAUAUUUUUAACAUACAGUGAAGUGUCACUACAUAAUAAUGAGAAAAUGUGACAUAAAAUGUGAAGCAAAGUAAUGAUUUUCUAUCUAUCUAUCUAUCUAUCUAUCUAUCUAUCUAUAUAUAUAUAUAAAAGUGUGAACACCCCUUAGAAAAGUGAUUUAAACUUUUUGCCCUUAAUUAAAAGAUUUCACAAUAGACAAAAUCGUCUUUUUACUAAAUUUCUUCAAUUAUUAUAUCAUAGUCUUUAUAUUAUUUAUUAUUAGCCAUAAUAAAUAUGUAAGAUUCACUUUUAGAUUAGAAUUCAAUAUCAAUUAAAAUAGUAUUACACGUCGUAUUUUCUUUAUUUAGAUUUAUUAUCCACUUUAGGUUAGGAUAUUCUACCAAAGUUAUCACUUUAGGUUAACUAGGACAAUAUAUAUUCUACACAAAUUUUUGUGGACUACAAAGAAAAAAAAAUUAGGUUGAGACGUUUAGGUUUCACAAUUUAAUGCCACUUUUAGUUUUAAUUUUUCUUUACUAAUUAAUUUUACUAUUACGUUAGUUUGAUUAAAAAAUUAUGUUAUAUUUUCUUUGUAUUGGUUGAUAGGAUUUGCAUGUAAUUAUUUUUGUAUGAAGGUUAGGUUUAAUUGUAUUGUUCUAACAUCUUGAUAAUUGUGUUGUUGUAGUUUCUAUCUCGUUACUAUAUGCUAUUUUUUAAAAUUAAUACAAGUGGUCAAUGAAUGUUCGAUCAGACUUUGAGUAAUUUUUGUAUAAAUUUAAGGUUUAGUUGUAUCGUUCUGACGUCUCGAUUAUCGUAUUGUUUUGUUGUUGUUUCUGUUCUAUUGAUAUCUGCCAUUUUUUCUGCUUAAUACAGGUGAUAGAUGAAUGUUUCAUCGGGCUUUGAGAAAUUAUGUGUAAAGGUUAGGUUAAAUCAUAUUGUUCUAAUAUUCGAUUACCGUAUUGUUAUUAUGUAUUUUCUGAUUUCUCGAUUAUCGUAUUGUGUUGUUGUAGUUUCUGUUUUGUUGCUAUUUGCCAUUUUUUCUGCUAAAUACAGGUGAUAGAUUAAUGUUUGAUCGGGCUUUGAGAAAUUAUGUGUAAAGAUUAGGUUAAAUCUUAUUGUUCUAAUAUUCUAUUAUCAUAUUGUUUGUUGUAUAGUUUUUAUUUGCUAUUUUUUUUUUAGUACUUCAAGUGAGAAAUGAAUGUUUGGUUGAGCUUUGAAGAAUUUUUAUGUAAAGAUUAAGUUUAAUCUUAUUGUUCUAAUAUCUUGAUUAUCUAUCCCAUUUUUAUUUUCUAUUUUUCUGCUUAAUACAUAUGGUAGAUGAAUGUUCGAAUGAGCUUUAAAAAAAAUGUGUAAAAGUUAGAUUUAAUCAUAAUUGAACAACAUAUUUAGAUGUAUUUUUAAUUUUCACUCUUAACAAAAAUAUUGUGAAAAAAAUUUCAUCAAAGAUGACUGGUUCAGUGUAUUGCCAACAAAUCGAUAAAGAGGACAAAAUAUUACACAUCUAAAAAUUGUUAGUAGCCAUUAGAUUAGGAGAGUCUAAAUCAGAAUUUUGAGGACGAGAGAAGAGUGCAUUUGGAUUAUUAGUAACAACAAAAGUAAGCUUACUUAGAACUGAGUCGUUGCGGUUUAUAGGAGGCAUAAGAAUAUUUGUUUUGUUAGGGAUAUUAACUGCACAACGAAUCUUAAACUAAGAUAUUUCAGAGGCAUCGAUAAAGAUGACAUGUAACUGAGGACAGUGAGGACGUUAUGGGCAAACUUAAGGAAAGUGGUCAUAAUUUUCUCCAUAGUUGAAUUUUGAUUCUUCUACGGAAGCUUGAAAGGAAGAGUGAACGGUUGAACACUAAAAAGUAUGUGGAAUUUGAAUAGUGUGACUUAAUUUGGAACGAAUGAGAGAUCUGACCAGUCCAUAUUAUUAUAUAUGAAUGAACAAUAUCUAAAUAGUUAACAAAAGAUUGAAACAACAAUAAAAUUUGAAUAUAAAUUCACCAAAUCUUGGACCUCUUCAUUCCAAAAGAGGUGCAAUACUAUUGUUAUUGUUUGAGAACUAUCUAUUCCUUUUUACUCAAAACAAGAAUCUUUUAAAACAUUACAAUUUAUAUUACUUUUAUUAAAAUUUAAAUAUCUAAGUAGAACAAGAAAAUCAAUACACGAUAUAAAAUCAGAUAGAGUACUUUAGAGUUUAGACAUUGUAUUCCUCUUUAGUGAUAAAUUCCUAUAUGACUCUCAAUAAUUUUAAUAAUAUCCUAUUUACUAGAACAAAUCCACCAACAAAUUCUUUAAAAUUAAUAGUGAUAGGAGUCACAAAGAUAAUUUAAGUGGAUGAUGAUGAUGAUAAAAGAUUCAAAGGAAAGAUGAUAAUGACCUAUUCUAUUCACUUUCACGAGUAAUAUUGCAGAAGUUAAAACUCUACAAUUUGAGGUUCAAUGAUAUAUAACAUAUCCAAGGCUUAUCUCUUUCUCUUUUUCUUCUUUGCUUAAAUAAGAAAAAAGUUGACUUUGCAAUGUUAGUUGCAGUAUGAAGUUUGUCAUGUCUCCAUGAUAAGUUACAUAAAAAUUAGGGAUGAGAUAAUAUAUAAAUAUGACUCUAAAUUUGACACCAAAUUAUAAUUUUGACCUUAAACUUUGAUAGUACACAAAUAGGACCUUUAACUAUUCAGAACCUGAACGAAUAUGACCUCCGAUUUUGCAACCUUCAUGCGUGAGUUUCACUCGCGCCUAUGUGGAAAAGUAAUCCAAUCACACUAUGUCACAUCGUUAAAAGGGCUGACUUGGAGGGAGAUCAUAUUUGUGCAAUUUUGAAUAGUUAAAGGUCAUAUUUGUGCACUGUCAAAGUUUUAUUUUUUGUGUUAAAACAACGUCGUUUUUAUUAUUAUUAUUAUUAUUAUUAUUAUUAUUAUUAUUAUUAUUAUUAUUAUUAUUAUUUAUUUAUUUAUUUAUUUAGGGAUCGAACCCACGCAGUAGGCUGAAGGAAGCACCCAAGAAGAGCAAACAACACCACUGGGCUAUCUAAGUGUCUUGUUUCAUGUGGUUCAACAUUAAUAUACGUACAUAAAUAUAGAUUUUCUACCUUAUAUAUACAAUGUCAUUUUUUUACCGAGGGGCUUCGGGUGAACCCCAUGACAACCACUUAGGUCCGCCCCUGCGUUAAUUUAAUAACAUUUUAAUAACGUUAAUUUGAUAACAUUAAUUUAAUAUACUACUACUAGUAUCCUUAAUAAUGUUAAUUUAAUAACGUUUUAUUAAAACUAUAGUUUUUUUUUAUUAUUAGUAUAGUUUCAUCUUUAAUUUAAUAGUUAAAUAAAUUAUAUUUAGAUAUAUUAUAUAACUUAAAUUCACCUUUUGCUUUAUAAUAUAUAUACAUACCUGUGCGAUUUUUUCGUAUGAGGUUGACCCACCUGUUUAAUAAAUCUUCAAUAUUGCUCUUUUUCUGCAAUGACAAAAGAAAUUAGAUGUCAUUUUAAUCUUUGAGCCGAAAAUAAUGAAUAAAUAAUAGUGAAAAGUCAUUUAAAGGUUAUAUUUGUGCAGUUUUGAAUAGUUAAAGGUUAUAUUUGUGCACUGUCAAAGUUUAAGGUCAAAGUUAUAAUUUGGUGUCAAGUUUAGGGUCAUAUUUAUGUAUUAUGCCCUUAGAUUUUAAGCUGGACGUGCCCAGUUUUGCGUGUUGAAUACGCAUUUUACCACGUAGGAUCGGAGGUCAUAUUUGUGCAGUUUUGAAUAGUUAAAGGUCAUAUUUGUGCACUGUCAAAGUUUAAGGUCAAAGUUAUAAUUUGGUGUCAAGUUUAGGGUUAUAUUAUGUAUUAUCUCAUCAGGGAUUGUAUCUCACCCUUAUAAAUAGGUAUCGUGCAUUUUUAUCAUUAAUUUAAUAUUGGUAAUUCUUCUUUUAUUUUCCAUCGUUAUCAUUGUCGUCGCCUUUUGAAACUCUUCUAAGUAGACAGUUGCCAAAAGUAAAAAAGAGUUACUGAUUUAAAAAAGAUAAUUAUUGUUUUGGAUAACUAAGAAACAUAAUUAAAAAAAAUAAAAAAUGGAGGUGAAUGUGAGAGAAAGCCUCAAAAAUCCUAUUGUUCUCCUUACACAAAGUUGUAUAAAUAUUUAUUUUGAUCUUCUAUGGGUAGUAUAGGUAGAAUAAGAACAUAGAGAGGCCAACUUAAAUAUCAUAGACUGCUCAGAUUUUCACAAUCUUGAAAAAUAUUAGUUUCAAAAAAAUUUCAUACUCUUAUAAUGUAAAAAUGUUUUCAGAUUUCAUUUGUGUUAUCAUAUGUUUUUAGUAACUCGGAAAAGGAAAGACUAAAGUUUGUAAUAAUGAGACGAGUAAAUAUAGUUGUAAGAGGCGAGCGGGUGAUAACUUAAUAGUGAUUGUUAAUUGAAAAAUGGAAUUUGAGAUUGUAUGUAUCCUUAAAAUUUGAAUUUUUUUUUGUCUUAGUUCAUUUUUCGGUUGUAUGACCACAUAGGAACAAACAUCCACAUAAUCAAUAGUCUCACUGGUUCAAUUUAGUUUUGAUUUCAUUUCUUUUGAGUCGAGAAUCUAUUAAAAACAGUCUAUGAUUGUGUAGUCAUAUGAGAUCAUUGCUUCCACAAGCAUUAAUAAUUUCACUGGUUCAAUUCUGCUUUGAUUUUAUUUCUUUUGAGCUGAAGAUCUAUCAAAAAUAGUCUCUUUACCUCACAGAGAUAGGCGCCUCACAAAAGAAAGGGUAAGCUCUGUACAUUCUACCCUCUACUUGCGGGAAAAAUGUCUUUUUACAUCAUAGAGAUAGGGGUUUCACAAAAGAAAUGAUAAGAUCUACGUAUAUUUUAUCCUCUACUUAUACGAUUACACUAGAUAUCUUAUUGUCGUUGUGUUAUUACUUUUAAAUUAUUUUAUUUUUCUUGCAUGGAGUAUAAUUUUACUUAUUAACACGACAUACACGUGCAAAGCACGUAUACUAAACUAGUAACAAAAAAUAGGUGAGGGAAAAAAAAUAGUAAUGCUAGUGAAGGUAGGUAUCCUAGUUUAUUUUUAUGUGAUCCUAGAUUUAAGAAGCAAAAUUUAUUAAUGGAGUACGCAGGUUUCUUAGAUUUUCUUAGUGGUCCUAUGAAGCGUGCAUUACGAAGACGGGCGGGCGGUUCAGUUUUUUCGUUUGGUUUUUCGGAAUUUUGAUCCUAUUUUUCGGUUUUCUUUUAUGAAAGGGAUAGCAAAAUUGAACCGAAUUAGUUAUCCAGUACGGUUCAGUUCAGUUUGAUUUUUUUUAUUAUGAAUCUACUGGUUGGAAUAUCACUGGAAAUUGGUUGGAAUCGUGCUGGACACAAAAAAAAAAAAAAAAAUUGAUUCAAAAUGGACUACUAUAUAACAGCAAACAGCCAUCAGGAGUCUAGAACAACACUUACACUGAAAAAAAAUUGAACACAAGUAGAAAAAAGAGAAAACUAGCUUAUACUGAUGUGACUAGAAGAGUGAUUCAAAACGUCAUUAAGAUUAUUAUUAUGAAGUGAUAAGUACUUCUAUGUUUUUAAUCAAAGAUUUUUGAUUUGAGCUUUGAGAAUUCACCUUUGGUAGAAAUUGUUUUACUCUCAUAGUAAGACUUUCCGACACAAACUCACAUUAGUCUAACUCAAAUACAAACACGAACCCCACAUAAAAAAAACAAAAGAACGACAUUAUUCAAAACAUGAUUAAAAGGACCACAUUGAGUGAUGUUUGAUUGGAUGGCUAAACUUGUCCUUAUUGCCUGUGUCAACUUUUAAGGUUCUAUAUUCGAACCUCAGGCCUCAGCCACUCAACGGUAUAGUACUCUCUCUAUGUUCCAAUUUAUUUUUUUAGUUCUAAUUUAGUAUUGACUAUAAAAAAAAAAGUUAAAUUUUGUGGUUUUAAAUUAAAAAUAUGUAGAAUAUAUCAAAAUAUUUUUAAAAUUAUGUAAUUUUAAACAUGUCACAUGAAAAAUAGAACUAGCUAUAAGUUACCCAAAGAAAAAAGAAUUCUCACGCAUAUAAAAUAAAUCAAAUUAUCCAGGAUAAUCCCUUAACAAAUGGAUCUAGCCAGCUUAGCUUGUUGGAUAAUAUGCACAUACCUUAAUUUAUUAAUACUGUUCAAGUAGAACUUUUAGUAGUGAUUUUUAUCCUUUGAAGCCAUACAAUACAUGCACUAAGAUAUUGUCCUUUCUUUAUCGAAACGAAGAUAUAUAGCAUAAUUUAUAGUAAUAUAUAUCCAGGUGAAUUACAGCCAAAUUUUAAACUAAAGUUACCCAAGUAUAUAUUUAGAGUACAUCUAUAGCGAGUGAUGCUGCUUUUUAUACCAAUAUAUAGCUAUCAAAGUUCUCCAUGAGAUUGAGAGUAAUAACAAAACAAAAUUAGUAUCUACGAAGCGGACUCACUAUUGUUGAGGCGUAAGCGUAUUCCCUUGAAAAUUUUCCUAUAUAUACAUCGUCAUCAUGAUACACCUCUUAUAACAAUCCACAAAAUGAGAGAGAUUAUAAUUAGCCUUUUAUCUCUGGCUUUGUUCCUCCUUAAGGUCUCAGCCAAGCUAUCUGAUGUUCCCUUUUAUUUACCAGCCAAUGAAACCCUUGGCCUUAAACUAAUAAGGGAACGUAAUACGUCAGACCUAGCCCAGUCAUUAUUAGCACAGAGUCGAUGCGGAUGGCCAGGUGGCGGUAGAUCGUGUCCUACUGGACAGUGUUGUGAUUUUGAUGGUUGGUGUGGAACCGGUGAUGCCUAUUGUGAUGAAGAUGAGUGUGAUUUCCAGUGUCCAGGUCCGAUCCCAGUGGGACGAUGCGGAAUGCAAGCAGGUGGUCGACCAUGUCCUACUGGACAGUGUUGUCGGGAUUCAGGUUGGUGUGGAACCACAGAAGAAUAUUGUAAUCCUCUACGCUGUCAAAGCCAAUGUUCAGGACCUUAUCCAUCGGGACGUUGUGGAUGGCAAGCUGGUGGGAGGAAAUGUCCUACUGGAUUAUGUUGUAGUCUCUCUGGUUGGUGUGGAACCACUUCAAUCUAUUGUUCUCGUGAAGAAUGUCAAAGUCAGUGAGAAAGGCCACCACCACCCCCGUCUCCACCACCCCCACCCCCACCAUUCCCACAGGGACGAUGCGGAAAGCAAGCUGCUGGUAGAGCAUGUCCUACUGGAGUGUGCUGUAGUAUAUGGGGCUGGUGUGGAACCACACGUAACUACUGUGUUUCUCCCUACUGUCAAAGUCAGUGCAAGGGCGGUCUAACCUCGUACAACAAGAAUCGCUUCAGAGGCAUUGAAAGCUUAUUGCUCAAUGCUCUCUAGAUGCUUGCUGCCUUCUGUAUUCCCUAGACCAUGUACUUCUACUCCUCUUUUGGGACUGGA